UACGUAGGGGGCAAGCGUUAUCCGGAUUUACUGGGUGUAAAGGGAGCGUAGACGGCCAGACAAGUCUGAAGUGAAAAUCCAGCGCUUAACGUUGGAAGUGCUUUGGAAACUGCCGGGCUAGAGUGCAGGAGGGGCAGGCGGAAUUCCUAGUGUAGCGGUGAAAUGCGUAGAUAUUAGGAGGAACACCAGUGGCGAAGGCGGCCUGCUGGACGAUGACUGACGUUGAGGCUCGAAAGCGUGGGGAUCGAACAGG
RNAcentral lists this ribosomal RNA (253 nucleotides) under uncultured Lachnospiraceae bacterium. RNAcentral describes it as "partial 16S ribosomal RNA". It matches the Rfam family "Bacterial small subunit ribosomal RNA", at positions 524 to 776 of the family's 1533-position model. Lineage: Bacteria; Bacillati; Bacillota; Clostridia; Lachnospirales; Lachnospiraceae. The record is from RNAcentral.